AUUGAACGCUGGCGGCAGGCCUAACACAUGCAAGUCGAGCGGAUGAAGGGAGCUUGCUCCUGGAUUCAGCGGCGGACGGGUGAGUAAUGCCUAGGAAUCUGCCUGGUAGUGGGGGAUAACGUCCGGAAACGGGCGCUAAUACCGCAUACGUCCUGAGGGAGCAAGUGGGGGAUCUUCGGACCUCACGCUAUCAGAUGAGCCUAGGUCGGAUUAGCUAGUUGGUGGGGUAAAGGCCUACCAAGGCGACGAUCCGUAACUGGUCUGAGAGGAUGAUCAGUCACACUGGAACUGAAACACGGUCCAGACUCCUACGGGAGGCAGCAGUGGGGAAUAUUGGACAAAGGGCGAAAGCCUGAUCCAGCCAUGCCGCGUGUGUGAAGAAGGUCUUCGGAUUGUAAAGCACUUUAAGUUGGGAGGAAGGGCAGUAAGUUAAUACCUUGCUGUUUUGACGUUACCAACAGAAUAAGCACCGGCUAACUUCGUG
RNAcentral lists this ribosomal RNA (484 nucleotides) under uncultured bacterium. RNAcentral describes it as "partial 16S ribosomal RNA". It matches the Rfam family "Bacterial small subunit ribosomal RNA", at positions 30 to 507 of the family's 1533-position model. The record is from RNAcentral.